GCCUCUGUAGUCUAGCGGUAAGACACUUUGCUGUUAUCGGAUGAGAAUUCAGUGGUUGCAAAGAGUUGCGGGUUCGAUUCCCUCCGGAGGCA
Non-coding RNA from Mycena leptocephala, 92 nucleotides. The record is from the annotation of a GenBank genome assembly. Lineage: Eukaryota; Fungi; Basidiomycota; Agaricomycetes; Agaricales; Mycenaceae.